This is a long non-coding RNA of Megalobrama amblycephala (Wuchang bream), 2862 nucleotides long. RefSeq lists it as uncharacterized. NCBI's taxonomy places the organism in Eukaryota, Metazoa, Chordata, Actinopteri, Cypriniformes, Xenocyprididae. The transcript has 13 exons. The record is from RefSeq and is a predicted model, not a curated record.
AUCAAUUCAAAAUCUUUCAGGAGAUUUAGGCCGCCAUGGAAGAGGUCCUGUCUACAAAAAUCUGUCAAAAAAAUUUGAGCAAUGUAGUCGGUUGGACACACAGAAUUACACAAAUGACAAUAAAACACAAGGAAUUAUGGAGAAGAGCCAGUGGGACCUGAAACGUGUGCGCUUUCACAGACGCCGCCUCACACGGCUGGAUGAUUUUGUGCAUAUUUACCAAAUAACCCAUAAUUCCCUGCUGAAGGAGUUUUCAGACUCUACCCGCAAGAAAAAAACACACAGAGUAGAGGUUGAGCGUUGGAAACAGAAGGCGUUCCAAGAAAGGCAUUUAUGUAUCGCCACUACUAAAGGCCUUCCCCUUCAAGAAAGUCAAAAAGCCCAGGGUGCUGACCAAAAAAACUGGACCACAGGCAGCAAACCAAGAGGAAAAUGUCUGCAGGCAAAACUUGACUGCAGUGGAAGAAUGUGACACCUCCUUGAUGGAAGACAAUGCUCAUACAGACGCCCAGUCUGAUGAAAAUAAAAGUGAAGAGACUGCAGUGGAAGCAUGUGCUACAUCACGGACAGAAACAGUUGAUGAAGUGAUCCAAUUUGCUGACACUAAAGGCAAAAAGCUCACCUCCUUGUGGAAAAAAAAAAGCCACAGAGGUUGUGGUGUCUGUGAUCCCCACACAACACAUAGGACAAAUGAUUAAUGUCCAUCACAAAGAGCUCCGUUCACUUCAACCACACCGAUGGUUAUAUGGCGAGAUAAUUGAAUGCCGGUUUCAUCUUGCUGUCAACCAGUUGGAGAUGGGGAACUCCAUAUACAUUCUCAAUCACUACACAGCAUGGGCGAUUCUGUAUGGGGAAAGCUCGCAGCUUGUCCGGCACAGUUUGCCAAAGGUCAACUUUGACGAUUACCAGGCGAUUCUUUCAUUUGUGAACAUCAGCAAGGUCCAUUGGAAGCUUCUGUACAUCAAUGCUGUCAACCACACAGUGUACCUGGUAGAUCCUUCUAAAAGCUGCACAGAAGAAGCUGAUUCCAAUUAUGCUGGACAAAAAUUCAGGUUAUCAUUUCAUGACUCAUUAAAUCUACAAGCCACAUUCUAUCACUAUUUGCAAGGAGUUUUGCAGCACUGAAGAGAUGAUGAAAACUCAAAAUUCAAUGAUUCCCAUUCACUAAAAGGGUUACACCAAAUAUUAACCCAAUAGCCAGGCAAAUAGUUAAAGAAAUUCAGUAUAUGUUACAGUUUCAGCAGACGGAGACAGCAGGUAAAAGUAAAGUUGGUUUAUUAAACCAACAGAGUUGAUAUGGAUCACAGGUGAGUAAAUGGCAAAGGAAGUUAAGAUGGUAGAAUGAAUGGAGUUUUAUACUGUCCUUUGUUUUGCAGGAAGGUCACUGGAGUGGAAGCUGACUUGAAGACACUCACACACAGACUUGGAAUACAGGAGGGAACACAGAGACACAGGAGACAGGAGACAGGUAGGUAUCAACAGGAGUCUUUGAGGUAAGCAUAGAGGUAAGUUUCUCUUGAUGCGAACAAGACCAGACAAUGUGACUGAGUGUGAGUGUCUUAAGUAGUGGUGAUGAUGAGCGUGAUAAUGAGCUGCAGGUGACGGUGAUUAAUACUCAGGGGAAGGUGCUCGCUGUGAUUGGAGGGUGCUGGAGCCUGGCGUGUCUGUUACAGUAUAUUAUAUAAUUUUCCUGUAUCAAAAGUAUUUACUACCAGUAAGCUUGAUGGUAAAAUUUAUUGAGAUAUUACAAUAUUGUAAAGACUGUAUUACAUUAAAGUAGUGCAUUUAUUUACAUUCCAUUCCAUGUAGGUCAUAGCAGAGAGCUUGUGACUGUUGUAUUGGGAAAGGAGAUGCAAAUCAUUUGUUUUGUUAUGGACUUAGAAAUGAAAUUAAGAGUUCACGAGAAUUACUUACUUGUAUUUACACAUUUCACUCUUAUAAAAAGAGUUAUACGUUUAGAAUAUAUUAUUCUUGGAAAGAAAAGCUUUCUGUAAUCUUUCACUACUUAAUACAUAUUACUGUUAUUGUCACAGUUCCCUCGUCUCCUGGACUCCAUUACCCAUGAUCCUCCUUUUCUCCACACCUGCACUCACUUCCCUCGUAUUCUCCCCAUCACCACGGAUUACCUGCACCUGCUCCUGAUCAUCUGCACUCCCUUUAUAAUGGACUCACUCCCUUCACUCCCUGUCUGUUCUCUGUUUAUGUUAAGUUGUGUGUUGCUGUGUCUGUAUAGUUUAUCUCCUUUAUCUCCUUUGUCAUUAAAAUCCAUCAUUGUGGAUUUCCUAUGUACGCUUAAUCUCUUCUGCAUACACCAGCUGUAACAGUUAUGCAUCACAUUUCCUUUUACAUUUCCUUUCACGCAGUGAGUACCUACAGAUGAGGAAAACAUGCCAUGGAAAAACGGACUGGGUGGGCAUAAAAUGGAAAGCAGGUGUUCUGACACAUCCAGUCCAACAGGAUAGCAGUAGCUGUGGGGUCAUUGUCAUCUUGAUGGCAAGGGCAAUAAUGAGGGCAUUUCCAGCUGUCCCAAAUUUUCAUUUUGGAACCUCAAAAAAGGAAAUGGCACAAGAACGAAAAUUGAUGGCUCUGCAGAUACUGCAAGAAUCAGUGUUUGAUGAGACCAAUAACUGCUCUAUGUGCUCACUGAAAGAGCCAAGUGGAAGUGCACAACCUGUGACAAAGUGGAUCCAGUGUGACAGCUGCGAGAGAUGGUACCACGAAAAGUGCCUGGGCAUGACUAAAAAAAACUGAAACAGGCCAGGGUCAACAAUUGGGACUGCAUUUUGUGCUCUUAAACUUGUAAGCAGUAAACAUAUUUUUUUUUGUUUUAUUUAUUAAUGCUAUUUUUAUUUUAUUUUUUGG